This 70-nucleotide transfer RNA is filed under the name Stegodyphus mimosarum. It matches the Rfam family "tRNA". Rfam says of the family: Transfer RNA (tRNA) molecules are approximately 80 nucleotides in length. Their secondary structure includes four short double-helical elements and three loops (D, anti-codon, and T loops). Lineage: Eukaryota; Metazoa; Arthropoda; Arachnida; Araneae; Eresidae. The record is from Rfam by way of RNAcentral.
GCCUUAGUGGCGUAGUGGUCACGCUCGGCGCGUAUUCAAGAGGUCCGUGGUUCGAGUCCCGGCGAGGGCA